UACGGAGGGGGCUAGCGUUGUUCGGAAUUACUGGGCGUAAAGCGCACGUAGGCGGAUUAGUAAGUUAGAGGUGAAAGCCCAGGGCUCAACCCUGGAAUUGCCUUUGAUACUGCUAGUCUAGAGAUCGAGAGAGGCGAGUGGAAUUCCGAGUGUAGAGGUGAAAUUCGUAGAUAUUCGGAGGAACACCAGUGGCGAAGGCGGCUCGCUGGCUCGAUACUGACGCUGAGGUGCGAAAGCGUGGGGAGCAAACAGG
Molecule: ribosomal RNA, 253 nt
Filed under: uncultured bacterium
Lineage: Bacteria
Description: partial 16S ribosomal RNA
Rfam family: Bacterial small subunit ribosomal RNA
Source: RNAcentral